This is a long non-coding RNA of Alligator sinensis (Chinese alligator), 583 nucleotides long. RefSeq lists it as uncharacterized. The record is from RefSeq and is a predicted model, not a curated record. Lineage: Eukaryota; Metazoa; Chordata; Crocodylia; Alligatoridae. The transcript has 3 exons.
UUCAGGGGAUCAAAUGUUGUUUCUACUCUGGGAAUAUAAGCUUCAGAUGUGUAAUGUGUAAAAUUACUGGGAGCUGUGACAAAGCCGUACAAGGGUGAAAUAUACUGCUGCUGAAUUUUAUAUGUGCAUUUUAUAUCUGCUUUUCUGCAUUCUUUCAUAUGCUUUAGGAGCAAGAGAAUUCCUCAACCAGGCCAGUGCCCUGCUGGAAAGCAAGGGUAUCUCCAGGAUGUCAGCCUCAAAUUUGUCUCUGGGGCAGGAUAUUAUUAUGUGCUCCAUGGUUUGAUCAGGGUUUCCACAGUUGCAGCCAGGAUCAUGAACUGUUAUUGGCUAGGCACAGACAGUCAAAAAGCCUGAGACUGAAUUGAUUCAGUCUUUGCAGGUUGGCCGAUCUCCUCUGGCGGGCUUUCAACUAGGCUCGUCAGGGGAGGGGGAAGAUGAGGAUGGAAGGAGCCAUGGAACACCGAACCAAGAGCCACCCACAAGAACAGCCCAGCCAAGACAGGCAACGAGCACAAGAAAUACCCAGGUAAGAGACAGGGGCCCAGAUAGUCCUGGGAUUAGGGGGGCAGUGCAUACACCUCCA